RNAcentral lists this ribosomal RNA (435 nucleotides) under Salmonella enterica subsp. enterica serovar Typhimurium. Its description in RNAcentral is "partial 23S ribosomal RNA". It matches the Rfam family "Bacterial large subunit ribosomal RNA", at positions 2508 to 2925 of the family's 2925-position model. The record is from RNAcentral. Lineage: Bacteria; Pseudomonadati; Pseudomonadota; Gammaproteobacteria; Enterobacterales; Enterobacteriaceae.
ACGGCGGUGUUUGGCACCUCGAUGUCGGCUCAUCACAUCCUGGGGCUGAAGUAGGUCCCAAGGGUAUGGCUGUUCGCCAUUUAAAGUGGUACGCGAGCUGGGUUUAGAACGUCGUGAGACAGUUCGGUCCCUAUCUGCCGUGGGCGCUGGAGAACUGAGGGGGGCUGCUCCUAGUACGAGAGGACCGGAGUGGACGCAUCACUGGUGUUCGGGUUGUCAUGCCAAUGGCACUGCCCGGUAGCUAAAUGCGGAAGAGAUAAGUGCUGAAAGCAUCUAAGCACGAAACUUGCCCCGAGAUGAGUUCUCCCUGAGACUUAGAGUCUCCUGAAGGAACGUUGAAGACGACGACGUUGAUAGGCCGGGUGUGUAAGCGCAGCGAUGCGUUGAGCUAACCGGUACUAAUGAACCGUGAGGCUUAACCUUACAACGCCGAAG